RNAcentral lists this ribosomal RNA (500 nucleotides) under uncultured bacterium. RNAcentral describes it as "partial 16S ribosomal RNA". It matches the Rfam family "Bacterial small subunit ribosomal RNA", at positions 29 to 523 of the family's 1533-position model. The record is from RNAcentral.
AUUGAACGCUGGCGGCAUGCUUUACACAUGCAAGUCGAACGGCAGCAUGGGCUUCGGCCUGAUGGCGAGUGGCGAACGGGUGAGUAAUACAUCGGAACGUGCCCAGUAGUGGGGGAUAGCCCGGCGAAAGCCGGAUUAAUACCGCAUACGACCUAUGGGUGAAAGCGGGGGAUCGCAAGACCUCGCGCUAUUGGAGCGGCCGAUGUCGAGUUAGCUAGUUGGUGGGGUAAAGGCCUACCAAGGCGACGAUCUGUAGCUGGUCUGAGAGGACGACCAGCCACACUGGGACUGGGACACGGCCCAGACUCCUACGGGAGGCAGCAGUGGGGAAUUUUGGACAAUGGGCGCAAGCCUGAUCCAGCCAUGCCGCGUGCGGGAAGAAGGCCUUCGGGUUGUAAACCGCUUUUGUCAGGGAAGAAACGCUCCGAGUUAAUACCUCGGAGUAAUGACGGUACCUGAAGAAUAAGCACCGGCUAACUACGUGCCAGCCGCCGCAGUAA